Molecule: long non-coding RNA, 526 nt
Organism: Vigna radiata var. radiata (mung bean)
Lineage: Eukaryota; Viridiplantae; Streptophyta; Magnoliopsida; Fabales; Fabaceae
Exons: 2
Source: RefSeq, a predicted model, not a curated record
GGACUAAAUUGUACCUUAGCUUGAAUGAGGGAUUAAGACCAAAAUCGCUCCAAAGUAUAAGGAGUAAAAACAUAUUUAACCCAAUAUAUUAUAAUUGAAUAGCCAUCACCAAACACUGGUAAUAGAUGGUUUGAUACAUUAGUAUGGAUCACUUUUGCGAGUCACGUUAGAACAAGUAUGGUUACCUGUGUUCUUGGUGAUUGCGAUUGGCCGGUGGGACAAAAGAGAAACUAAAAUUUGUACGGUAUUGAUACUAAUCAAUUGAACCUGCUAAGGUUGUGGCCUUAGACGGAAGAAGGGACGUUGUAGCUGUUGUGAGUUCAAGUGCAGCAAAACUAUAUAGUCUCUCUACAUUCUUCUGUUAACAAACUAAAUUAUUUAAAGUUCUUAUAGUAUAGGAAUCUGAUAUUGGAAGUGGUGUGUCAUCUUUAAAUGUUACAAGAGAAUCAAAUGGAGGAAGCACAACAUAUUAAUUGUGUUUUUUUAUGUAUAUUUUAAUGAAAAUCCAAACUAUCAAUUCUUUGUA